Molecule: non-coding RNA, 35 nt
Filed under: unclassified sequences
Source: RNAcentral
CUCUGUUUCAGCAAAUGAUUCAGGGGCAAAAGGAG